GACGAACGCUGGCGACGCGCUUAACACAUGCAAGUCGAACGGAAAGGCCUGCUUUCCCUUGUGGAUUGCGGGUACUCGAGUGGCGAACGGGUGAGUAACACGUGAGUGAUCUGCCCCCAACUUGGGUAUAAGCCUGGGAAACUGGGUCUAAUUCCCGAUAGGACUGCAGGGUGGUGCCUGUGGUGGAAAACGAUUUUCUAGUGGUUGGGGAUGAGCUCGCGGCCUAUCAGCUUGUUGGUGGGGUAAUGGCCUACCAAGGCGGCGACGGGUAGCCGGCCUGAGAGGGUGGACGGCCACAUUGGGACUGGGAGACGGCCCAGACUCCUACGGGAGGCAGCAGUGGGGAAUAUUGCACAAUGGGCGGAAGCCUGAUGCAGCGACGCCGCGUGGGGGAUGACGGCCUUCGGGUUGUAAACUCCUUUCGACCGCGAGGAAGCCACCUGGUUGGAAGGGUGGUGACGGUAGUGGUAGAAGAAGCACCGGCUAACUACGUG
Molecule: ribosomal RNA, 494 nt
Filed under: uncultured bacterium
Lineage: Bacteria
Description: partial 16S ribosomal RNA
Rfam family: Bacterial small subunit ribosomal RNA
Source: RNAcentral